CCCUUAGAUGUUCUGGGCCGCACGCGCGCUACACUGUUCGACGCAGCGAGUCUUAACCUUGACCGAAAGGUUUGGGUAAUCUUCAGCAAAGUCGAACGUGAUGGGGAUCGAUCAUUGCAAUUAUUGAUCGUGAACGAGGAAUUCCUAGUAAGUGCAAGUCAUCAGCUUGCGCUGAUUACGUCCCUGCCCUUUGUACACACCGCCCGUCGCUACUACCGAUUGAAUGGUUUAGUGAGAUCUCUGGAUUGACGCUGGCUAGGGGGCGACCCUUGGCCAGACUGCUCGAGAAACUGCUCAAACUUGAUCAUUUAGAGGAAGUAGAAGUCGUAACA
Molecule: ribosomal RNA, 332 nt
Filed under: uncultured eukaryote
Lineage: Eukaryota
Description: partial 18S ribosomal RNA
Rfam family: Eukaryotic small subunit ribosomal RNA
Source: RNAcentral